GACGAACGCUGGCGGCGUGCCUAAUACAUGCAAGUAGAACGCUGAAGCUUGGUGCUUGCACCGAGCGGAUGAGUUGCGAACGGGUGAGUAACGCGUAGGUAACCUGCCUGGUAGCGGGGGAUAACUAUUGGAAACGAUAGCUAAUACCGCAUAAGAGUAGAUGUUGCAUGACAUUUGCUUAAAAGGUGCAAUUGCAUCACUACCAGAUGGACCUGCGUUGUAUUAGCUAGUUGGUGAGGUAACGGCUCACCAAGGCAACGAUACAUAGCCGACCUGAGAGGGUGAUCGGCCACACUGGGACUGAGACACGGCCCAGACUCCUACGGGAGGCAGCAGUAGGGAAUCUUCGGCAAUGGACGGAAGUCUGACCGAGCAACGCCGCGUGAGUGAAGAAGGUUUUCGGAUCGUAAAGCUCUGUUGUAAGAGAAGAACGAGUGUGAGAGUGGAAAGUUCACACUGUGACGGUAUCUUACCAGAAAGGGACGGCUAACUACGUGCCAGCAGCCGCGGUAAUACGUAGGUCCCGAGCGUUGUCCGGAUUUAUUGGGCGUAAAGCGAGCGCAGGCGGUUAGAUAAGUCUGAAGUUAAAGGCUGUGGCUUAACCAUAGUACGCUUUGGAAACUGUUUAACUUGAGUGCAAGAGGGGAGAGUGGAAUUCCAUGUGUAGCGGUGAAAUGCGUAGAUAUAUGGAGGAACACCGGUGGCGAAAGCGGCUCUCUGGCUUGUAACUGACGCUGAGGCUCGAAAGCGUGGGGAGCAAACAGG
This 765-nucleotide ribosomal RNA is filed under the name uncultured Streptococcus sp. RNAcentral's name for it is "bacterial SSU rRNA". It matches the Rfam family "Bacterial small subunit ribosomal RNA", at positions 28 to 776 of the family's 1533-position model. Lineage: Bacteria; Bacillati; Bacillota; Bacilli; Lactobacillales; Streptococcaceae. The record is from RNAcentral.